This 192-nucleotide unclassified non-coding RNA is filed under the name plant metagenome. RNAcentral's name for it is "partial contains small subunit ribosomal RNA and internal transcribed spacer 1". The stretch from base 1 to 46 matches the Rfam family "Eukaryotic small subunit ribosomal RNA", at positions 1786 to 1831 of the family's 1831-position model. The record is from RNAcentral.
AAGUCGUAACAAGGUUUCCGUAGGUGAACCUGCGGAAGGAUCAUUAGAGAUUUACACCGGCCUCGGUCGGAGGGCGUCGAGCUUGCUCCUCGCCCGUCACACACACACCUGUGAACGGAACGGACGCUCACGCGGCCGGACCUACUUAACAACUGUCGUCUACGUCAUGAAAGCAAAACAAAAGAAAAACAA